Molecule: long non-coding RNA, 1077 nt
Organism: Gallus gallus (chicken)
Lineage: Eukaryota; Metazoa; Chordata; Aves; Galliformes; Phasianidae
Source: Ensembl
UCCAGGCUCAGGCAAUUCGCCACGGAUCACAUUUUAUUUCACGCUUUUGCAGACGCAGGAAACCGUUGGAGUAGAGAGGUGCGCCGGACUGGAGAGACACAACAGUUCACGUUUCCUGCUUCACGAGCUGCUGACCUCCUACCGCAUCCUCACAUGGAGGAUCGUGGCAGCUGUGGCAGCGAUGGAGAGGAGGAGGAGGAGGAGUGCCAUCAGCAGCUAUCAGACCACUCUAAGAAAGGUUAUUACGGACAGCCAUCCAGACACAGAGACACAGAACUGUAGGCUUGCUGGUCUGUGCAAGCAGAAUGCUGUCUGGAGGUUCUCUUCCUUCCCAGCCAAAGUGGAGCAAAGGUAGUCUUGCGAAGCUGUCUUUUUGGUUGGGGAUAAUUAGUAGGUGUGCUGCACGACUUAGACAUAUCCAUAGGCUGAAACUGGAAGACUUUGUUUUGGGGGGAUAUACUAUUCUGUUAGCAUUUAGGCAAAGAAAUCACUAUCGCCUGAAUGCUGUUGCCUGUUUUGAGAGGACCAAAUCCUGUUCUAAAGUUGGAGUUAACUGUUGGUAUUUUCAUACUCGAACAGGAAAACCUUUUCUUCCCCUUUUAUUAAUGCUGCCAAUUUGGGCUGUUCUACGAAAGCAUGAUCUAGGAGAUAAACUUGAUGCAACCGAACUUAAAAGGAUUUAAAAACAAACUAAAAAACUAAAACUUAAAAAAACUAAACUUAAAAGGAUUUAAAAACAGUAAGUGCCUUUAGCAAGAAGCAUUUCUAAUUGUUUGUUUGGACAUGCAACAUGUGUAAACAUACGUGUGUAAAGCCAUAACACACUAAACAGGGGGAUGGACUCUUUCACCUAAGUUUUGUAUCAGAUUCAUGACAACAGUUUACCUUGCAUGUUGUUUUUCAGGGUUCAUAUAUGCAGAUGGGGUAUUUCAAAAGCACUGAGUGUGCAUAACUGACCGUGCAGCUGGCCAGGUGGGUUGGAAAAGACCAGCUUGUGCUCAAACAGAAAAAGUGCUGUAGAAAUUCAGUCAUGUAUCGAAAUUGCCACAGCCACAAAUAAUAAACAACAGACUCUAG